GUGCUAAGCUUAGUGCUCUCUCUCCCACCACCAGUGGCAGAGCCACUGUGUGGGGAGAAACACCUUUUUAUCUUGGAGAGGGGCAGCCUUGUUUCUGAGGACAGAUGGGAGCAAAACGGGACAGGUAGGAAGUUUCGUGGUUUCUCGUGUCGCUUCUCCAAAAUAGCCACACUGCUGCCUCCCACUUCCUGCCUGACUCGGCUGGGGUAGAUUUUCUCCUUUAGAGGAUUUGUGUUCUGUGUAUUCCCAGGGAGGCUCGAAGGGAUCUGUUGCCAAAAACAUGCUUGACACUGAAGCCCUGGAGCUUGGCACUGAGGGCCCCAGCUCAGGUUUGGACCACUGGGUUUGCAUCCGGGCUCUGUCUCAUACUGGCUGCGUGACCUUGGGCAAAUGACUUCACUUCUCUGUGCCUCAUCAGUAGGAUGGAGAUAACAACUCUAGCUAUAUCCAGCAGUUACUCUGCAGAUUAAAUGAAUAUGUGUAAAGGGCACAGCCCAGUGUGGGCACAUAGCAACUCUUAAUGAAUCUCUUAAUAAAAAACAGCAAUGUUGUUGUUGAUCUCCAUCCCCUACCUGGAAAACUGUACCAGCCUCCCAGCCACCUUCCCUUUCCCCUGGCUUGCCUGCUCCAGCACAUCCCAGCAUGAUCCGAGAGUGAUAGAAACGUGAAACACAAAUCUGACCCUGCUAUCUGCUGCUUAAAAUCCACCCAUAGCUUCCAGCGUCUAUGGCAGGAAUGAGCAUUCUUUUGCUCUGAAUGGCCAGAUAGUAUUUGAAGCUUUGCCGGGCAUAUAGUCUCUCUUGACUUUGUCAUUGCAGCCUGGAAGCAACCACAGAUAAUAUGUAAAAAAUGGGCGUGGUUGUGUUCCAGUAAAAUUUUAUGUACGAAAACAGGCAGCCGGCUGGAUUUGCCAACCCUUGACCUACAGGAUGAAUCCAGACCCUUAGCUCAGCAUUCCCAGUUCAGCCUGUUCCCGUUAUCUCCAUCCUUCUUCCUCCCCCACCCCUGCUCUUGUGCAGAACAUGUCACACUUUAAUCCUUUGCGUGUGCUGCUCCCUCUUUCUGAGUUUUCCUUCCCUGCCCCCUGAGUGCCCCUUCCCCAUGGCAUUAGGACCUUUACUCUGGGAUUCUGUGGUACCCUGUCUUUAUUUCUACCCUGGUCAUAUAUGCAAGUUCCAUCUGUCUCUCCAUGAGAGGGGCUCCCCUCUAGGCAGGGAUUCGGCCUUCCUCUUCUGUACACCCAGCAGGGUGCUGCUGUAUAGGUUUCUGCAGGUGCUCAGUAAGCAUUUGUUAUUGAACCCAAGGAUCUGCAAGAUGGAUGGUUGGCCUCAGGGAGCUCACAGUCAGCUUAGAAAGCUAGGAUAUGAGCCAGUCAAAAGCCAGCCAGCAAUCCAGGCAGGAAAUGAUGAUGGUCUGUGUGUUUGGCCCUAACUGAUGUCAAGUGGAGAUUCUGAGCUUGAUAGAGGAAGGGCCUCGGGUGGUCCUCGAGGUGCCGCAGGUGGAAGAAGAACAGGCCAAGGCAAAUGCCUCCGGUACCCAGCACUGCCUGGUGCACAGUAGUGGUUGAUCAGUAAUUGUUGAACCAAUCAGGGUUUCUGUUUGCUUGAAGGAAAGGGUAGGAGUGGAGGGUGAGUGACUGGGUGAAUGGGUGCUAUGAGGACAAAGGAGAGUGGAGUUUAGAGGUAGCACUAGUGUCGCAAGCCUGAAGGUUUACCAGAGACAGAGGGGUGAAAAGAUGAGUGGGGCACUAAGCAUAUUGAAUGUGAGAGCUGCUGGAAAUGCAGGAUUGGGGCGUGCUGGGUGGGGCAGGUGAUGUGUGCAGCUGUGGAAGCUGCUACCAAGUCAAGCAUUUUCAGAUGGACAUGCUUAGGCAGGAAGGAACAAGGCUUGGCUCCUGGCCUGGGGAGAGUUAACCUCCUGGCCCGGCAUUGCAUAACCGCAGAGUCUGCUGAGCGCAAGGAGACUCUUCUGUGUGGCAGCCAGAGUGGCAAGCCUGGUGGCUCCGGGCUCUGGCACCAUCCCGCAGCGGAACAAACAGCCCUCCCUUCCCAGAUAAUGGCCCUCAUUGAGCAUUGUGUCCAUGGCCAGCACCCAGCACAGGGCAGCUCAGCCUGGAGGGCAGUCACUGACCACAGCUCUGUUAGAAGAUCUGCUUGACAUAAUGAGGCUUCACAGUUUGGGACUUUAUCUCGUCAUUCUGGGGCCUAGGAGGGGACGUGUGGAAACACCUCCCAGUGUCCAGAAGCCAUCCCAGCACAUCGUGGGGCUCCUGCCUGGAGCCCUGAAACAUUUCCUGUGGCCACAUUCCAGCCCCCUGUGCUUUGCGUACAUUGAACCUUGUAUUAGUCAGGGUUCUCUAGAGGGACAGAACUACUAGGAUAGAUGUAUACAUAAAGGGGAGUUUAUUGAGGAGUAUUGACUCACACAAUCACAAGGUGAGGUCCCACAAUAGGCCGUCUGCAAGCAAGGAAGCCAGUCUGAGUCCCAAAGCUGAAGAACUUGGCGUCCAAUGUUUGAGGGCAGGAAGCAUCCAGUGCAGGAGAAAGAUGUAGGCCAGGAGGCUAAGCCAGUCUAGUCUUUUCAUGUUCUUCUACCUGCUUUUAUCCUGGACACACUGGCAGCUGAUUAGAUGGUGCCCACCCAGAUUGAGGGUGGGUCUGCCUUUCCCAGUCCACUGACUCAAAUGUUAAUCUCCUUUGGCAACACCCUCUUCAUCCUUCAAUCCAAUCAAGUUGACAUUCGAUAUUAAUCAUCACAAGCCUCCCACCUAGAGUCUCUUUCUUGCAAAUCUCACCAUCAACAUCUUCCCAUAGUUCAAAACCCAGCUCAAACAAGGGUAUGCUGACUCCUCUGUGGAAUUAGUCUCCAGACUCCUUUCUCGGCAUGUCCCACCAGGAACAACAAUGUGUAAAGGCAGAGAGUUCAAAGUGUAAGAGCAGGAUGGAGAGAGAGGAGGCCAGGAAGACUGGGUGGGCCCUAUUUUGACAGGACUGAAACGCCAAUGGCUGAAUCUCUCUGCAUUGGGGAGCUACUGAGAAUUACUGACAAGGGGAGAGGUCUGGUGAGCUUGGCAACUGAAGAGAUUUCUCUUUCCACAAUGAAUAGUGGAGUGGGGUGGACUGGGAGAAGGCUAGAAACCUGGAAGCAAGGUGAUUAGGAGGCAGUUGGAGGAAUUUCAUCAGCUUCCCCAAAUGCCAGUAGAAAAGUAUAUGCCAGAUUUACAAUAUUCACAUGGGGAAUUAGCAAAAAUAUAGAUUCUGGGUCCCUUUCCCACAAAUUCUAUUUCAGUGGAUUUGGAAUAGGGCUAGAACCUGUGCUUUUAUCAGACACCACAGACAUUUCAGAGGUGGGGAGGUGGACUAUUCAAUAAUGCUGUUGGGACAACUGGCUAGCUAGGGAGUAAAAAAACUUAAGCUUUAUCUUUACCUCACUCCUUACACACAAAUAAGUGCCAGAUGGAGCCAAGGUGACAAUGGAAAGGAAAGAAGAGAGGAAAGGAGGGAA
This 3504-nucleotide long non-coding RNA is filed under the name Homo sapiens (human). RNAcentral describes it as "HSALNT0291745". The record is from RNAcentral. Lineage: Eukaryota; Metazoa; Chordata; Mammalia; Primates; Hominidae.